GGCGUCCACACUUAUCGGUUUGUUUGAUGUUACAGCCAAGGGUCUGUAGCUCAGGUGGUUAGAGCACCGUCUUGAUAAGGCGGGGGUCGUAGGUUCAAGUCCUACCAGACCCACCAAGUUACGGACGGUGGUGAGCGCCUGCUGUUCAAUGGGGGAUUAGCUCAGCUGGGAGAGCACCUGCUUUGCAAGCAGGGGGUCGUCGGUUCGAUCCCGUCAUCCUCCACCAAACCUUGUGGUGGCCAAACGCAAGCAUCGAGGGGCUCGGUGUUUGCGUUUGGCAUUGCCAAGACGAGAGAAGUAGCUCGGCUGUUCUUUAACAAUAUGGAAUGUAGUAAAGGUGUCGCGGCGCGUUGAUGAGGCGCGCAAUUCAAACGCGACACUGGGUUGUGAUUGUAUCAACCAGUAUUACGAGUGAUCGAAAGACCGCUUGGAAUACGGCACAACGCGAGAACUCAGCCUAUAGCGAGACAUACUCGUUAUAGGGUCAAGCGAAUAAGUGCAUGUGGUGGAUGCCUUGGCGAUCACAGGCGAUGAAGGACGUAGUAGCUUGCGAAAAGCUGCGGGGAGCUGGCAAACGAGC
RNAcentral lists this unclassified non-coding RNA (580 nucleotides) under Ralstonia solanacearum. RNAcentral describes it as "partial contains 16S-23S ribosomal RNA intergenic spacer and 23S ribosomal RNA". The stretch from base 40 to 113 matches the Rfam family "tRNA". The record is from RNAcentral. Lineage: Bacteria; Pseudomonadati; Pseudomonadota; Betaproteobacteria; Burkholderiales; Burkholderiaceae.